This 157-nucleotide ribosomal RNA is filed under the name Cordyceps coccidioperitheciata. Its description in RNAcentral is "5.8S ribosomal RNA". It matches the Rfam family "5.8S ribosomal RNA". From Rfam's summary of the family: 5.8S ribosomal RNA (5.8S rRNA) is a component of the large subunit of the eukaryotic ribosome. Lineage: Eukaryota; Fungi; Ascomycota; Sordariomycetes; Hypocreales; Cordycipitaceae. The record is from RNAcentral.
AAACUUUCAACAACGGAUCUCUUGGUUCUGGCAUCGAUGAAGAACGCAGCGAAAUGCGAUAAGUAAUGUGAAUUGCAGAAUUCAGUGAACCAUCGAAUCUUUGAACGCACAUUGCGCCCGCCAGCACUCUGGCGGGCAUGCCUGUUCGAGCGUCAUU